UCAGAGGCGAUGAAGGACGUGCUAAUCUGCGAUAAGCGUCGGUAAGGUGAUAUGAACCGUUAUACCCGACGAUUUCCGAAUGGGGGAAACCCAAUAUCCCAUGGAUAUUAUCAUUAACUGAAUACAUAGGUUAAUGAGGCGAACCGGGAGAACUGAAACAUCUCAGUACCCCGAGGAAAAGAAAUCAACCGAGAUUCCCCUAGUAGCGGCGAGCGAACGGGGGAACAGCCCAGAGUCUUAAUCAAUGGCAGCAUCAGGAGAACGGUCUGGAAAGUCCGGCAGUAAAGGGUGAUAGCCCCGUAUCCGAAGAUGCUGUUAUUGUGAACUCGACGAGUAGGGCGGGACACGUGUUAUCCUGUCUGAAUAUGGGGGGGACCAUCCUCCAAGGCUAAAUACUCCUGAUUGACCGAUAGUGAACCAGUACCGUGAG
Molecule: ribosomal RNA, 430 nt
Filed under: Shigella sp. FC1967
Lineage: Bacteria; Pseudomonadati; Pseudomonadota; Gammaproteobacteria; Enterobacterales; Enterobacteriaceae
Description: bacterial LSU rRNA
Rfam family: Bacterial large subunit ribosomal RNA
Source: RNAcentral